Notolabrus celidotus (New Zealand spotty) is the source of this 728-nucleotide long non-coding RNA. RefSeq lists it as uncharacterized. The record is from RefSeq and is a predicted model, not a curated record. The transcript has 3 exons. NCBI's taxonomy places the organism in Eukaryota, Metazoa, Chordata, Actinopteri, Labriformes, Labridae.
UCAAGACACCUGUGACAUAAUUAAAUUUGGUGACAACAUAAUAAGGAAUAACUCAAUAAGUAGCAAAGACUCAAUCUUGGGUCCGCCAAGGUUGGGAGGAGGGGUUCACCUCAUGUGAUUAACUGGUGGUUGCUAGGUGACAGUCCUGCAAAGGAGCCACUCAUUUUCAGCCCAGCACUUCAACCAGCAGGAUUUGAGGACAGCCUUCCUGAUCCUCCGAACCAAAUACUGCUGUCCACAUCAUCUCCUGUACGCUGGUUGCCAUAGGGAUUCCAGGGACAUCUGACUCAAGGAUGACAUGAGUCAUACGUUUAAAAAGAAAUAUAUUUUUCUUCUGCUUGUAGUAGAUUUGUUGAAUGGACAGUGGAGUCUCGUUUAUUACAAUGGCACAACAAAGAGGAUCUCAAAUCAAGAGGGCUCAAGGCUUCUCCUUGUCCUGUGAAUAAAAUCGGAUUCAUUUGUUUGCAAAGGUUUGAGCAACGCCUGGAUUUUUUUCUCUCUACAUUAUCGCUGUCCUACUUUUCUCCAAGGUCACAGCUACAGCAGACGUACAGCAGUGUCACUCCCCAUGGCUGUAUAAUUUUUCAUAUAAAAUACACUAUCAUAGUACCUGUCAUGAAACUCCAAAUGUUGCAAAGCAGUUCUGACUGUUCUUACUCUUAGACUCAAGGAACAUCACAACCAUGACCUUGAUUUGGUCCACUCUUGUAGGAUCAUAUUACUGCUUU